GAACAAAUUAAGUGUUGUAGCAUUGAUCAAAGUAGACUUUCGACCGUUCCUAAUUAUAUUUAGAUUGUACCUGUGGGAUAUGAAUUUGUUACCCAUUUCUUUGGAGUGUCGAUUGGCGAUUUCAAGUAUUUGAGAUGAAAUGAAUAAUCUAGAUUGCAAUAAUGCACCGGUUUAACUUUUUAAUAUAGAGCAGGGGCAAAAUUACUUUUGUUGGUUUUACUUAAUAUAUUGACCGCUUAUGUGGAGUUAUAAUUUAUAAUUUGUAUUAAUAUGGCAUGUCAUACUAGAUGGCUUACAUGCAGUGGCGGAGCCAAGUAGGUGCAUGGGGUCCACCGACCCCCCAACAUAAAAUUGGAAAAAAAAACUUAUAGCUGAGAUCUACGAGACCUGUUAUUAUAUAGGACCAAUUUCUUAGGUUAUAAAACACCUGCUACGCAGUAAGCCAUUGGGUCUACUAUAGAGAUAAUCCUAAGAGACCAGCCUUUAGAAAUAACUGAUUUCUUAGAGUUUUGAGUAACUACAGAGGAUAAUCCUAAGAACCAGUCUUUAGAAAAAACUGGUCUCAUAGAGUUUUGAAUUUAAAUACCGGCUCUUUUAAAUAAAGUUAGUCUUUUCCGUUUUCACCACACAUAUGAAAACCGUAGAGAAUAAGUGUAAUAAUUUUGUUCGAUUGUAAUAUGAAUAUUGAUUAAUUUUAGGACGAUACAUUUUUUUUAGUAAUAUAUUGUGUGUUGUGGAAGAUCACCAGACACAAAACUCUAAAAAUCAUGAGAACGCCAUUGCCGACACCCAAAAAAAAAAAUCCUGACUCCGCCACUGCUUACAUGCCUACAUCAAAAAUUCAAUUCUCUCUUUAUCUAAACAAAAGAUGUGCAAGUUUUCUGAAUAAACCAUUCGAGCCUCUCACAUUAGUUUGACACUGACUGAAUACAUUAUGCAGCUGCGAUAAAUGGUGUUUUCUUAUUGAGGUUGUCGUUAUAUUUUGCAAUUUGUACAUUCUCAGGCAAUUUCUUAUUAGUUAUUAAGACUUGAAGAUGCAUAUUAUAAUUAAUGUCUUAUCGCCAUCUUCUUUGCUCGCAUGAGAUUUGUUCCGGUAUUAGAAUCGGGUGGUGUGGUCGGAUCUUCGUAUCUUGAACGUGGAGGUGAUUUCCUGCAAGUGAACUCCGAGCCCGGGGAGGUUCCCCCGGAUCGGGGCCUCCGACGCCCAACAUUAGUGUCUGAUAUAAUAUAGA
Spinacia oleracea (spinach) is the source of this 1232-nucleotide long non-coding RNA. RefSeq lists it as uncharacterized. NCBI's taxonomy places the organism in Eukaryota, Viridiplantae, Streptophyta, Magnoliopsida, Caryophyllales, Amaranthaceae. The record is from RefSeq and is a predicted model, not a curated record. The transcript is spliced from 3 exons.